This 1263-nucleotide ribosomal RNA is filed under the name human gut metagenome. RNAcentral describes it as "bacterial LSU rRNA". It matches the Rfam family "Bacterial large subunit ribosomal RNA", at positions 711 to 1973 of the family's 2925-position model. The record is from RNAcentral.
GCAUACGAGAUAGGCUCCGGUCUCGUGGGCUCGGAGAUGUGUAUAAGAGACAGCUGGAGGGCCGAACCUACUGGUGUUGCAAAACCAGAGGAUGAGCUGUGGUUAGGGGUGAAAGGCUUAACAAAUCUGGAGAUAGCUGGUUCUCCCCGAAAACUAUUGAGGUAGUGCCUUGUAUAUGAGCUUCUGGGGGUAGAGCACUGUUAUAGCUAGGGGGACAUGGCGUCUUACCAAACUAUGGCAAACUCCGAAUACCAGAAAGCUUCGUACAGGAGACAGAGCACCGGGUGCUAACGUCCGGACUCAAAAGGGAAACAACCCAGACCGCCGGCUAAGGUCCCAAAUAACAGCUAAGUGGAAAACGAAGUGGAAAGGCCGUGACAACCAGGAAGUUGGCUUAGAAGCAGCCAUCCUUCAAAGAAAGCGUAAUAGCUCACUGGUCGAGUCCUUCUGCGCGGAAGAUGUAACGGGGCUAAGCUGUUAACCGAAGCCGCGGAUGCACUGGUUAUCCAGUGCGUGGUAGGGGAGCGUUCUGUAAGUCUGCGAAGGCGGUUCGAGAGGACUGCUGGAGAUAUCAGAAGUGCGAAUGCUGACAUGAGUAACGUUAAAGCAGGUGAAAAGCCUGCUCGCCGUAAGCCCAAGGAUUCCUGCUCUACGUUCAUCGGAGCAGGGUGAGUCGGCUCCUAAGGUCAGGCCGAAAGGCGUAGCCGAUGGGAAUCAGGUUAAUAUUCCUGAACCUGCGUCAGAUGCGAUGGGGGGACGGAGCAUGGAAGAUCAUCCGGGUGUUGGAAGUCCCGGUUGUUGAGCGUAGGAGGUCUGCAGGCAAAUCCGCAGACGCAUCUCCAAGGCAAAGACACGUGCCGCCACGGCGGCGAAGUGAUCGGAAGUGCUUCCAAGAAAAGCCUCUAAGCACCAGUCUGAUGCGGACCGUACCGCAAACCGACACUGGUGGGCGAGCUGAAUAUGCUCAGGCGCUUGAGAGAACUCGGGAGAAGGAACUCGGCAAAUUGACACCGUAACUUCGGAAGAAGGUGUGCCGUAGUACCGUGAGAGGAGAGACACCUUGAGCGGGAAACGGUCUCAGAGAAUAGGUGGCUGCGACUGUUUAUUAAAAACACAGCACUCUGCAAAGUCGAAAGACGACGUAUAGGGUGUGAUGCCUGCCCGGUGCUGGAAGAUUAAUUGAUGGGGUGAGAGCCCUUGAUCGAAGUCCCAGUAAACGGCGGCCGUAACUAUAACGGUCCUAAGGUAGCGAAAUUCCUUGUC